RNAcentral lists this long non-coding RNA (1496 nucleotides) under Eptatretus burgeri (inshore hagfish). RNAcentral's name for it is "lncRNA (ENSEBUG00000017131.1)". Lineage: Eukaryota; Metazoa; Chordata; Myxini; Myxiniformes; Myxinidae. The record is from RNAcentral.
GGGGGGGGGGGGGGGGGGGGGGGGGGGGGGGGGGGGGGGGGGUAUUUUAACAUUAGUGUUCUGAUUUGAUUCACCACACGCGCUGUAUUGAAGGAUUUCACUUGUUUUUUUUACGUUUAAAUUUGCAUAUUUUACCUUUAAAUUUUUGAAAAGCUUUCCAACAGGUAUACUUACCUACCUUAUUAUAGAUUUCGUUUUUACACUGGAAAUAUUUAUAAACACUCACUGAACCAGAGAGUUUCCUUUAACACAUUAUCGGUUAUAAACACCUCAUUACAUGUGAAACACGAUCACCUUCCCUGGGAGGGUAGGGGUUUAAGGGGGGGUACCGGGUACAACCCCCCCACCCCGGAUCAGCCUUUGUGUUCAGUCCUUGGAUGGUAACCCCCACAGCUGCAAGAUGGAUGAUUGGUCAACGCACCUGCAGUCAAGACCUCACAAGCUGUGACUGACCCUGAGGAGCCCCUGUCAAAAGAAGCCACUGCAUCACUGCCAACCGAAACGAGGAUUUUGUGAUCCUCUUUGGGAGAGUUUUUUCAAGCUUUUUCCAAACUCCGUCCGUCCUUCCCAGGUGCGAACGUGUGCUGGACACCCACAGGCGACCGACAUUGAGCGGAGCACUCGUAUGUGACGUUGAGUGGGGUCUAGCGCACACUUGCGCUUAGAAUUAGAUUCCCGAUCGUCCAGAUCCAAGUGUUUGUAAUGUACCGUGAUGAAUCCUGGUUCUCAAACCUGUCCGAAGUGAUGAAGACCAUGAUCCAAACAUUCCAAAAUCGACAAGUUCUCAGCAUGAACACCAUUUGUACCUGCAUCAUUUUCAGUGCAGUGUGUAUGAUAUGCACUAAUGUGUUGCAGAUGUUAUUUGCCGUACAGCUUCAGCAUGACAGACGUGCGAGGCAUCAUUGCAGAAAAAUCGCAAAACCAUCAGAAAAUAUUCGGUGAAGAAAAGUCGAUCGGUGCAGCCUCUGCUCACUGUGGGGCACGUGAUCCAAGACAAUGGAGCUUCCAAUCGAGCUGGUUGCUUGGCAACGCUAACACGCACCUCCUCUGUCUAUUUUUAUCUUUUGUCGCACUUGCAUAAAAAAAAAAUUUCCUGUAGCUGUAAGCCUUUUAAUGGAGAGCUUAUUCAAAUCACUGAUGGAUCCCUGCCCUUCGACAAGGUCAGAGACUGGGACAUUAAAAUGAGCUCCGUCCAACCGUCUGUCAAUCGUUUGUCCAUUUACUUUUGUGUACAUGAUAUUCAACAAAAAUAGUUGAACAUUUACCUUUCAUGUUGCAGAUAUCUACUCCUCAUAACAUCAUCUCAAUACGAUUAAAUAAUGGCUCUAAUCUGUCACCAUGGCAACAAUCUUGGUAACUUGGCUUGUGCAUGUGAUAUUUCAAAAACCAUUCAAGAUGUAGCUUUAGAGGAGGGGAGGGGUGGGGGAAAGAUAGAGGAGAGAGGAGAGAGAGGGAGGGAGGAGGGGUGAGUAGUGGGCGGAGCUCGGGGGGGGGGG